GGGAAUUGGAGUCAGUUGCUGUUUUGUGAAGAAGAAAGAGUUAGUGGUCUGAGGAGGUGCCCACAAGAAACACCAAGAAGGUAUGAAACUUUUGUGAUAAGGAGACAACAGUAUGGACCCCAUGCAAUAAGGUGGCAAAAAGAUGCUCUAUCCCCCUUAAGUGGCCACAGCUCUAGCUUUCUCCUGCAGUCGAGGUGAGAAUUCCCAGAACACUGCUGAGCAACAUCUCUUUGUCUCUCUCCUCUCGUGCUCUAAUGGUGCACUGUCACAAGUGAGCCAUCUAUUAAGAAAAAACACUUCUUAGGAAGUAACAAGCUACUUCAGCAAAAAAGGGUGACUUAAAAUCGUCAAGAAGGUCCACUGGAGGAGCUUUCUUUUGUGGGGGUGCUGUUCUUUCUCAGGUUCCCCUCCCUUGCAUGUGGGCCAUUUGUUGGCUGGCUCCUCUCCUAGGAAAAGCUGCAGGGUAUCUAUCUCCUCGAUCAUCUUGUUCCCGGCCAGCAGAACAGCCGAGUCCUGUGGCUUGGACUUGUGCCAUUGCCCUGCAAUUGCCUCCCUGAAGUUUGCUGUGUGGUUUCUUAUCAAUACUGCUUUCAGGCUUGUUUUUCCCAUUGCAGCCUAUUAAGUCAGGCAGCAUUCACUCCAGAAAGUUUAUAAACCAAUACAUUGUUGACUUCUCUGGAAAGGUCAAGAGCAGGCUUUCUAUGACUGUUACUGUUCAGACUUCUUGUAUGGUGCAUAAUAUCUGAGCCUCUCCAAUGCAGAGAAACAAAUACUUCAGCAAUUUUAGUACUUAGUAACUUAAUAUUUAAUGGUUGCUUGAAAUAGUUAUUUAUUUAGAACAUUUAAACUGAUUUCACUAUUAUUUUGUAUAAACAUCCAAAAUAAAUGUUAGGCACUGGGACAUCUUUUUGUUUAAGGAGACAUGAUAAACACUGAUGAAAGAAUCUUUCUUGCAAAAUGUUGCCAAUUAGCAGAAGUGUGUUUUCAUCAUUAAAAGCUAGAAAUAAAUAACAAAAAAUAUGCUUAAAUGGGCUGGUACUUUUGUAGAUGAAAAUAUUUUGUGUGGUGGACUAAAUAAAAGGCAGAUGUCUUUAUAAUUCUUUUGCUAAGGAUAAAAUUUUAUCAGUGUGCCAUUGGAAAUAUAAAACUGCUGUCAGAAAUAAAGCCAAGUGUCUUCACCUCUUA
Molecule: long non-coding RNA, 1185 nt
Organism: Zonotrichia leucophrys gambelii
Lineage: Eukaryota; Metazoa; Chordata; Aves; Passeriformes; Passerellidae
Exons: 2
Source: RefSeq, a predicted model, not a curated record